AUGGCGCCGCAGUCGCGCUGGUGCGGGCCAACCGACGGGGCUGUCGAUUGGGGCCGCUCCGACGCCCCCACGGUGGAGGUGGUCGGGCCCGACGGGGUCGACUUUGUCGCCGACGAUGACGCCCUGGCGUUCGGCUCCGGGGUCACGGACCUAAACAUGGCAGGGCCGUUGGAGCUGGUGGUCUCCAAUGGCGUUGGCGAGGGCCUCGCAGAGCUCGAGUUGCUGUCGGUUUCUCGGUUUGCUGCGCUGCUCUUCACAGUCAUGCAGCUGGCCAUCGCCGCUAGGGAUUUGUCGUCCAAGGCAGUCAAUCCUUUCCUGUAA
Molecule: ribosomal RNA, 321 nt
Filed under: Triticum aestivum (bread wheat)
Lineage: Eukaryota; Viridiplantae; Streptophyta; Magnoliopsida; Poales; Poaceae
Description: partial small subunit ribosomal RNA
Source: RNAcentral